This 253-nucleotide ribosomal RNA is filed under the name uncultured bacterium. RNAcentral describes it as "partial 16S ribosomal RNA". It matches the Rfam family "Bacterial small subunit ribosomal RNA", at positions 524 to 776 of the family's 1533-position model. The record is from RNAcentral.
UACGGAGGGGGCUAGCGUUGUUCGGAAUUACUGGGCGUAAAGCGCACGUAGGCGGCUUUGUAAGUUAGAGGUGAAAGCCUGGGGCUCAACUCCAGAACUGCCUUUAAGACUGCAUCGCUUGAAUCAUGGAGAGGCGGGUGGAAUUCCGAGUGUAGAGAUGAAAUUCGUAGAUAUUCGGAAGAACACCAGUGGCGAAGGCGGCCCGCUGGACAUGUAUUGACGCUGAGGUGCGAAAGCGUGGGGAGCAAACAGG